CGUGGCGUUUUGACGCUGCAGUGCCCUUCCAGUAUAUAUAUGUUACAGCUGCAGAGACUGCGAGGGGCUUUUCUGAGAGUUAUUGACUUCUUCACAAUUUUAUUAUAAGGAUAACUACGGAAAAGCUGUAGCUAAUACUUGCUUUAUUAUCCUUUGAUUUUUAUCUUUGGAUAAGUAUUUGUUAGGCCUUAUAAGAAAAAAGUUAUUAACUUAAGGAAUUAUAACAAAGAAGUAACACGUAAUAAAUUUAUUUUAUUUAGUGUGUAUCAAUCGAGUUUCUGACCUAUCAGCUUUUGAUGUUAGGGUAUUGGCCUAACAUGGCUAUGACGGGUAACGGGGAAUUAGAGUUCGAUUCCGGAGAGGGAGCCUGAGAAAUAGCUACCACAUCUAAGGAAGGCAGCAGGCGCGUAAAUUACCCAAUUCUAAAGAAGAGAGGUAGUGACAAGAAAUAACAAUGCAAGGCCAAUUUUUGGUUUUGUAAUUGGAAUGGUGGGAAUUUAAAACCUUCCCAGAGUAACAAUUGGAGGGCAAGUCUGGUGCCAGCAGCCGCGGUAAUUCCAGCUCCAAUAGCGUAUAUUAAAAUUGUUGCAGUUAAAACGCUCGUAGUUGAAUUUCAAAGAAUCGAUAUUUUAUUGUAACUAUUCUAGGGGAACUAUUUUAGCUUUUCGCUUUAAUACGCUUCCUCUAUUAUUAUGUUCUUUAAAUAACAAAGAUUCUUUUUAAAAUCCCCACUUUUGCUUUUGCUUUUUGGGGAUUUUGUUACUUUGAGUAAAUUAGAGUGUUCAAAGCAAACAGUUAAAGCAUUUACUGUGUUUGAAUACUAUAGCAUGGAAUAACAAAAUUGAACAAGCUAAAAUUUUUUGUUCUUUUUUCUUAUUUUGGCUUAGUUACGAUUAAUAGGAGUAGCUUGGGGACAUUCGUAUUCAGAUGUCAGAGGUGAAAUUCUUAGAUUUUCUGGAGACGAACAACUGCGAAAGCAUUUGUCUAAAAUACUUCCAUUAAUCAAGAACGAAAGUUAAGGGAGUGAAGACGAUCAGAUACCGUCGUAAUCUUAACCAUAAACUAUGCCGACUAGGUGUUGGAUGAAAGUGUUAAAAAUAAAAGUCAUCUUUCGAGGUGACUUUUAGAUUGCUUCCUUCAGUACCUUAUGAGAAAUCAAAGUCUUUGGGUUCUGGGGCGAGUAUUCGCGCAAGCGAGAAAGUUAAAAGAAUUGACGGAAGGGCACCACCAGGCGUGGAGCUUGCGGCUUAAUUUGACUCAACACGGGGAAACUCACUAGUUUAAGACAGAGUAGGAUUGACAGAUUAAUAGCUCUUUCUUGAUUUCUUGGAUGUGAUGCAUGGCCGUUUUAGUUCGUGAA
Molecule: ribosomal RNA, 1360 nt
Organism: Plasmodium falciparum Dd2
Lineage: Eukaryota; Apicomplexa; Aconoidasida; Haemosporida; Plasmodiidae
Rfam family: Eukaryotic small subunit ribosomal RNA
Source: Rfam